This 325-nucleotide ribosomal RNA is filed under the name uncultured bacterium. RNAcentral's name for it is "bacterial SSU rRNA". It matches the Rfam family "Bacterial small subunit ribosomal RNA", at positions 28 to 334 of the family's 1533-position model. The record is from RNAcentral.
GAUGAACGCUGGCGGCGUGCCUAACACAUGCAAGUCGAACGGACAUUUUUUUGGAAAGCUCUUCGGAACUGGAAUCUAAAUGUUAGUGGCGGACGGGUGAGUAACGCGUGAGCAAUCUGCCUUUCAGAGGGGGAUAACAGCCGGAAACGGCUGCUAAUACCGCAUAAUGCAUUGGAUUCGCAUGUUUCUGAUGCCAAAGAUUUUAUCGCUGAAAGAUGAGCUCGCGUCUGAUUAGCUAGUUGGCGGGGUAACGGCCCACCAAGGCGACGAUCGGUAGCCGGACUGAGAGGUUGAACGGCCACAUUGGGACUGAGACACGGCCCAG